RNAcentral lists this ribosomal RNA (1362 nucleotides) under Metapenaeus ensis. Its description in RNAcentral is "16S ribosomal RNA". The stretch from base 655 to 1362 matches the Rfam family "Archaeal large subunit ribosomal RNA", at positions 1423 to 2830 of the family's 2987-position model. Lineage: Eukaryota; Metazoa; Arthropoda; Malacostraca; Decapoda; Penaeidae. The record is from RNAcentral.
AGUGUAAACUUGUUUAUUUGGAAGAAAUUGUUUAGAGUUAAGUGUUUAGUUCUAUUAAAAUCAUUUUUUAAUAUAGGUAUUUUAGUAAUUUGAAGUAAAAAGAUUUUGUUAAGGCUAUAGUGAAGAGUACUGUGAAGGAAAGGUGAAAUAACAUGAAAUAAUUUAACUGGAAAAAAGUAGAAAUUAAGUUUUGUACCUUGUGUAUCAGGGAAAAUUAAAAUUUUCUUUUUAUAUUAAGAAAUCCCGAAAAAAGAAGAGUUAAUGUAAAAUAGAGUUUUUCGUUUUAAAGAAAUUUUGAAUUUUAUAUUGGUGAUGAGAUGUCAGUCGUUUCUUUAUAUCUGGUUAUUAAUGAAUUAAAUUUAAUUUAGUUAUUUUUUGAUAGAGUUGAAGUUAAAAAAUAGUAAAGAAUAGGAGGGAAGAGCUUCUUAUUCUAUAAUAAAUUAAUUGUGAGUCGUCAUUGUAAAUUUAUAUUAAAUUAGGCUUAAAAGCAGUCAAAUUUAUAAAGCGUUCUAGCUAAUAUAAAGGGUUUUUAUUAUUUAAGAUGAGUCCGAUUAUAGUAAUUAAUAAUUUUAUGGAAUAUUAGUGUAAAAGUUAUAAUGAUUUUAUUAGUAGAGAUAAGUGUGUAAAAUAAGUUUAAAAUAGAAUAUGAAGUAUUAGUUUUGAAAUGUAUAAUAAAGGAACUCGGCAAACAUUAUUUUUGCCUGUUUAUCAAAAACAUGUCUGUAUGGUUGUUAUAUAGAGUCUGGCCUGCCCACUGACAUACGUUAAAGGGCCGCGGUAUUUUGACCGUGCGAAGGUAGCAUAAUCAUUAGUCUUUUAAUUGGAGGCUUGUAUGAAUGGUUGGACAAAAAAUAAGCUGUCUCUGUUUUAUUUCUUGAAUUUAACUUUUAAGUGAAAAGGCUUAAAUGUUCUAGGGGGACGAUAAGACCCUAUAAAGCUUUACAGUGUGCUAAUUAAAUUAUAAAUUGUUAGUAUAAACUUGGUUUGGUUAGUAGCUGUUUCGUUGGGGCGACGAAAAUAUAAUUGAUAGUAACUGUUUUUCUUUUAUAAUAACAAUAAAUUUUUGGUAGAAAUUGAUCCUUUAUUAAAGAUUAAAAGAUUAAGUUACUUUAGGGAUAACAGCGUAAUCUUCUUUGAGAGUUCAUAUCGACAAGAAGGGUUGCGACCUCGAUGUUGAAUUAAGGUUUCCUUGUGGUGUAGCAGUUUCAUGGGAGGGUCUGUUCGACCUUUAAAUCCUUACAUGAUUUGAGUUCAGACCGGCGUGAGCCAGGUCGGUUUCUAUCUCCUAGGUGUGAGAGAUUACUUUAGUACGAAAGGAUUGAGUAGUCAAAAUAAUUUUUGAGAAAAGAGUAAUAUUAAUAG